AGCCCGGUCGUCUAGCGGUCAAAGUGGGUCAGAACGAUCAUGGAUAACGGGCUCUGGACCCGUCGACGGGAGUUCGAAUCUCCCCCGGGCUACCA
RNAcentral lists this transfer RNA (95 nucleotides) under Candidatus Bathyarchaeota archaeon. Its description in RNAcentral is "tRNA-Gln". It matches the Rfam family "tRNA". Rfam says of the family: Transfer RNA (tRNA) molecules are approximately 80 nucleotides in length. Their secondary structure includes four short double-helical elements and three loops (D, anti-codon, and T loops). Further hydrogen bonds mediate the characteristic L-shaped molecular structure. tRNAs have two regions of fundamental functional importance: the anti-codon, which is responsible for specific mRNA codon recognition, and the 3' end, to which the tRNAs corresponding amino acid is attached (by aminoacyl-tRNA synthetases). tRNAs cope with the degeneracy of the genetic code in two manners: having more than one tRNA (with a specific anti-codon) for a particular amino acid; and 'wobble' base-pairing, i.e. permitting non-standard base-pairing at the 3rd anti-codon position. Lineage: Archaea; Thermoproteati; Candidatus Bathyarchaeota. The record is from RNAcentral.